Molecule: ribosomal RNA, 253 nt
Filed under: uncultured bacterium
Lineage: Bacteria
Description: partial 16S ribosomal RNA
Rfam family: Bacterial small subunit ribosomal RNA
Source: RNAcentral
GACGAACCGUGCGAACGUUGUUCGGAAUCACGGGGCUUAAAGGGCGCGUAGGCGGUCAAUCCAGUCGGGGGUGAAAUCUUGCAGCUUAACUGUAAAAGUGCCUUCGAUACUGAUUGACUCGAGGGAGGUAGGGGCAGGUGGAACUUCCAGUGGAGCGGUGAAAUGUGUUGAUAUUGGAAGGAACGCCGGUGGCGAAAGCGACCUGCUGGAUCUCUUCUGACGCUGAGGCGCGAAAGCUAGGGGAGCAAACGGG